RNAcentral lists this long non-coding RNA (410 nucleotides) under Rattus norvegicus (Norway rat). RNAcentral's name for it is "long non-coding RNA NONRATT000487". The record is from RNAcentral. Lineage: Eukaryota; Metazoa; Chordata; Mammalia; Rodentia; Muridae.
GUCACCCACGGGCAACGUGCCUCAACACGCCUCUCAGCUAUGAGUGUCAUUGCCAGCGCGGCUACCAGGGUGAUGGCAUCACACACUGUAACCGCACGUGCCUGGAAGACUGUGGCCACGGUGUGUGUAGCGGUCCCCCGGACUUCACUUGCGUGUGUGACCUGGGUUGGACCUCAGAUUUGCCACCACCCACACCUGCCCCAGGACCCCCUGCCCCACGCUGCUCUCGAGACUGUGGCUGCAACUUUCACAGUCAUUGCCGCCGGCGGGGACCUGGCUACUGUGAUGAGUGCCAGGACUGGACAUGGGGGGAACACUGUGAACGGUGCCGGCCUGGCAGCUUUGGCAAUGCAACGGGCUCUGGUGGCUGCCGACCCUGCCAGUGUAACGGGCAUGGAGACCCACGUCGU